ACAGGCAAAGCAGUUUCUCACUUUGGAUAACUGAUACAAAGUCAUCUAUAAAUUUAGAGCUGAAAUAAUAUAAAUGGCCCUUUCAACCAUGACCAGCUGAAAAUAAUACACUUUUUUUUUAAGUGAAAGUACGUGAUUUUUCACACCUAGCAAUUUGAGAGUUCAGUGUUAAUGUGGUGUUUCUAAUGAGAAAUUGUUACUAGAAGCAUAGGAGUGAAAUAGUGUGAAAUGGUGGUGAGUGUGUCUAUCAUAUUACUGUAGGUACUUGGACUGGUGCAAACUUGAUUACCUUUAAUGGCCCUUUUUAGGAGCUGUUAAAAUAUUAUUGAAAAUUCAGUACCAAUAGUUUGGUUUCAUGUAAUAGGAAAUAACAAAACUUACUUUAAAGCUUCUCAGCUAUUUAUGAAGAGCUCACCUGACUUAAUUGAAAUUCACUAGAAUGUAUUGAACAAAAAAAUGUUAUCACGGUAAAAUUCCACAUGUUAAGUCUUGUAGGCUUUAAAAUAUUUGGUUAGGUUUAAGAAAUAUGUGUUAUGCAGGGAGGCAGUUCAGAUGAAUGUGUUGUAGCAGACAGUUUUUUUUUUUUUAAUGGUGUUAGACUUGAAUUCAUCUAGUUAUUGUUUGAAUGAGGGUGGGUGGGUAGAAGGAUAACAAAAUUACUGUUAGUGUUUCUUUCCUUAAGGAAAAAGAUGUGAAUCCCAGCCUUAUUUCAGGGAAGCCUUUGAAGCUAUGAUGGACGUAAGUCUAAAUUAAAUGUAUGUAUGUUUCAUUAUAUUGCUCUUAAAAGACUACUGAGGUGGCAGUUUAAUUCUUAAAAACAAUAAAAUGAAAGCAUAAAUACUAUUUUGCCUAGGUGAGUUUUUACCUAAUGAUGACACAUUUGGGAGACUGCAGAAUUUUCCACGUCGAUACAACUUUUACAGCAAAAUUUCACGUUUUGGGAGAUUAAAACCAGCAAGGUGAACGUUAAUAUUUCUAAAGUGGCAUGCUUGUUCAGAGUAUAAUAUAUAGUAUUGGAGAAAAUUAUCAGUUGCAAAGAUUGUAAGAAACUACUUAAUAUUCAUUUUGCCCUGUAAAAAACCACUUGCUCAAGUUAUUGUAUAAGAGACUAACACUAAAACGCAAAUGGAAAAGAUAAUUUGACCGUAUUUUUAAACUUGAAAUAGGUCAUUUUAUGAUAUGAAGUAUACAGAGCUGCUUUUGGCUUUGUUCUGAUGUACUCGAAGGGUAUCUUUCAUACGUCUUUUUGGAAAAACCAUGUAAACUUAUUUUUGAAAAAGCGUUAAUGGAAAAAAAAAGUAUGUGGAAAAAUCUCAAGUACCUGAAACCAAAAUACACUUUUCUGAUUAUUAGAUCAACCAUCAAAUUGGUAUAUUGAUGUUAAUUGAGGCUUGACAUAAUCAUACUAUAUUCUAACUGAAGUGGAUUUAUUUUUCUUUACUGGUUUGUAAUUGUAAUCUGUUCAGUUGUGGCCUAGACCAAGCAGACUUUACGUACUACAAUAUAUGCACGAUCUAAUAAAGCAAUAUUGGAUAUACUAGACUUAAAGGGGAAAGAGAGGUAAGCCAGGUAAAAUACUUGGUAAUAAUACUAAUAAAAAUAUUUGAAUUUUC
Molecule: long non-coding RNA, 1613 nt
Filed under: Bos taurus (domestic cattle)
Lineage: Eukaryota; Metazoa; Chordata; Mammalia; Artiodactyla; Bovidae
Description: long non-coding RNA NONBTAT019601
Source: RNAcentral